GCCUUCGUGGUGUAGUGGUCAGCACGCUCGACGCAUAACCGAGAGGUCCGUGGUUCGAUUCCCGGCGAAGGGU
This 73-nucleotide transfer RNA is filed under the name Stegodyphus mimosarum. It matches the Rfam family "tRNA". From Rfam's summary of the family: Transfer RNA (tRNA) molecules are approximately 80 nucleotides in length. The record is from Rfam by way of RNAcentral. Lineage: Eukaryota; Metazoa; Arthropoda; Arachnida; Araneae; Eresidae.